RNAcentral lists this ribosomal RNA (440 nucleotides) under uncultured Dehalococcoidaceae bacterium. RNAcentral's name for it is "partial 16S ribosomal RNA". It matches the Rfam family "Bacterial small subunit ribosomal RNA", at positions 338 to 794 of the family's 1533-position model. The record is from RNAcentral. Lineage: Bacteria; Bacillati; Chloroflexota; Dehalococcoidia; Dehalococcoidales; Dehalococcoidaceae.
CCUACGGGUGGCAGCAGCAGGGAAUAUUGCGCAAUGGGCGAAAGCCUGACGCAGCGACGCCGCGUGGGGGAAGAAGGCCUUCGGGUUGUAAACCCCUUUUCUCAGGGAAGAACACUGACGGUACCUGAGGAAUAAGCCUCGGCUAACUACGUGCCAGCAGCCGCGGUAAUACGUAGGAGGCGAGCGUUAUCCGGAUUUACUGGGCGUAAAGCGGGCGCGGGCGGCUUCUUAAGUCCGGGGUGAAAUCUUUCGGCUAAACCGGGAGGGGUCCUCGGAUACUGGGAGGCUGGAGGGCAGCAGAAGGAAGUGGAAUUCCCGGUGUAGUGGUGAAAUGCGUAGAUAUCGGGAGGAACACCAGUGGCGAAGGCGGCUUCCUAGGCUGUCCAUGACGCUGAGGCCCGAAAGCGUGGGGAGCAAACCGGAUUAGAUACCCCUGUAGU